GACAAAGACUUAGUCCUAACCUUACCGUUGGUUGUUGCUAGGUAUAUACAUGCGAGUAUCCGCAUUCCAGUGUAGACGCCCUGGGUACCCUAAUCUAGGUCGACAGGAGCAGGUAUCAGGCACACCCAUGUUGUAGCCCAAAACGCCUUGCAAUUGCCACGCCCCCACGGGUUCUCAGCAGUAGUUAACAUUAAGCAAUGAGUGCAAACUUGACUUAGCCAUAGCAAAUCCAGGGUCGGUAAAUCCUGUGCCAGCCACCGCGGUCAUACAGGAGACCCAAGUCAACGUUAUAACGGCGUAAAGUGUGGUACUAUGUUAUCUAAAGUAGCUAAGAUUAAAAAGCAACUGAGCUGUCAUAAGCCCAAGAUGCCCAUAAGGCCUCCACCAAAGAAGAUCUUAGACCAAUGAUCCAUUGAAACCCACGAAAGCCAGGACCCAAACUGGGAUUAGAUACCCCACUAUGCCUGGCCCUAAAUCUUGAUGCUCGAUCUUACCGGAGCAUCCGCCCGAGAACUACGAGCACAAACGCUUAAAACUCUAAGGACUUGGCGGUGUUCCAAACCCACCUAGAGGAGC
RNAcentral lists this ribosomal RNA (576 nucleotides) under Phylloscopus fuscatus fuscatus. RNAcentral's name for it is "partial 12S ribosomal RNA". It matches the Rfam family "Bacterial small subunit ribosomal RNA", at positions 7 to 938 of the family's 1533-position model. The record is from RNAcentral. Lineage: Eukaryota; Metazoa; Chordata; Aves; Passeriformes; Phylloscopidae.